RNAcentral lists this transfer RNA (75 nucleotides) under Chloroflexota bacterium. RNAcentral's name for it is "Chloroflexi bacterium tRNA-Gln". It matches the Rfam family "tRNA". From Rfam's summary of the family: Transfer RNA (tRNA) molecules are approximately 80 nucleotides in length. The record is from RNAcentral. Lineage: Bacteria; Bacillati; Chloroflexota.
UGCGGUGUCGCCAAGCGGUAAGGCAGCGGACUUUGAAUCCGCCAUUCCCAGGUUCGAAUCCUGGCACCGCAGCCA